This 452-nucleotide ribosomal RNA is filed under the name uncultured bacterium. Its description in RNAcentral is "bacterial SSU rRNA". It matches the Rfam family "Bacterial small subunit ribosomal RNA", at positions 340 to 786 of the family's 1533-position model. The record is from RNAcentral.
UACGGGAGGCAGCAGUGGGGAAUAUUGCACAAUGGGCGCAAGCCUGAUGCAGCCAUGCCGCGUGUAUGAAGAAGGCCUUCGGGUUGUAAAGUACUUUUCAGUCGUGAGGAAGGUGUUAAGGUUAAUAACCUUAGCAAUUGACGUUAGCGACAGAAGAAGCACCGGCUAACUCCGUGCCAGCAGCCGCGGUAAUACGGAGGGUGCGAGCGUUAAUCGGAAUUACUGGGCUAAAGGGCACGCAGGCGGUUAAUUAAGUUGGAUGUGAAAUCCCCGGGCUUAACCUGGGAAUGGCAUUCAAGACUGGUUAGCUAGAGUCUUGUAGAGGGGGUAGAAUUCCAUGUGUAGCGGUGAAAUGCGUAGAGAUGUGGAGGAAUACCGGUGCGAAGGCGGCCCCUGGGACAAGACUGACGCUCAUGUGCGAAAGCGUGGGGAGCAAACGAGGAUUAGAUACC